This 251-nucleotide ribosomal RNA is filed under the name uncultured bacterium. RNAcentral's name for it is "partial 16S ribosomal RNA". It matches the Rfam family "Bacterial small subunit ribosomal RNA", at positions 335 to 578 of the family's 1533-position model. The record is from RNAcentral.
UAUCCUACGGGAGGCAGCAGUAGGGAAUCUUCCACAAUGGACGAAAGUCUGAUGGAGCAACGCCGCGUGAGUGAAGAAGGGUUUCGGCUCGUAAAGCUCUGUUGGGAGUGAAGAAAGAUAGAGGUAGUAACUGGCCUUUAUUUGACGGUAAUUACUUAGAAAGUCACGGCUAACUACGAGCCAGCAGCCGCGGGAAUACGUAGGGGGCAAGCGGUGUCCGGAUUUAUUGGGCGGAAAGCGAGGGCAGGCGG